Molecule: ribosomal RNA, 533 nt
Filed under: uncultured bacterium
Lineage: Bacteria
Description: bacterial SSU rRNA
Rfam family: Bacterial small subunit ribosomal RNA
Source: RNAcentral
CGGCCUUGACAUACUAAGAACUUUCCAGAGAUGGAUUGGUGCCUUCGGGAACUUAGAUACAGGUGCUGCAUGGCUGUCGUCAGCUCGUGUCGUGAGAUGUUGGGUUAAGUCCCGNAACGAGCGCAACCCUUUUCCUAUUUGCCAGCGGGUCAUGCCGGGAACUUUAAGGAUACUGCCAGUGACAAACUGGAGGAAGGCGGGGACGACGUCAAGUCAUCAUGGCCCUUACGGCCAGGGCUACACACGUGCUACAAUGGUCGGUACAAAGGGUUGCUACCUCGCGAGAGGAUGCUAAUCUCAAAAAGCCGAUCGUAGUCCGGAUCGCAGUCUGCAACUCGACUGCGUGAAGUCGGAAUCGCUAGUAAUCGCGGAUCAGAAUGCCGCGGUGAAUACGUUCCCGGGCCUUGUACACACCGCCCGUCACACCAUGGGAGUUUGUUGCACCAGAAGUAGGUAGUCUAACCGCAAGGAGGACGCUUACCACGGUGUGGCCGAUGACUGGGGUGAAGUCGUAACAAGGUAGGCGUAGAUGA